Manduca sexta (tobacco hornworm) is the source of this 308-nucleotide long non-coding RNA. RefSeq lists it as uncharacterized. NCBI's taxonomy places the organism in Eukaryota, Metazoa, Arthropoda, Insecta, Lepidoptera, Sphingidae. The record is from RefSeq and is a predicted model, not a curated record. The transcript has 2 exons.
CGUGAUUUUAGGGCUAUUUUUUUGGAGUUGGUAACCCUGAAUGUUGGUGAAGACUUGAAUGUAAAUAGAAUUAAAAUAUUAAAAUCUUGACGAUCGUGAUGAUAAUUAAUUAUUGAAUACGAUACGAAUAGCAACUAGCACACGCAUAAUAUACUGUAAAACAAAUAAGUCGAAAAAAUAAAAUGCAGAGGGUAUUAUCUAUAUUGAAAACUGUUUCCACGGUGAAUUUUGCGACGAGAACAUUUAGUGUUCUACCUUCACUAGGAAAUGCAUUAGAAUCUGUGAAGAAGGAAGGGAUAUUGAAAUCA